UAUUAUUCCUAAGUACUAGUGCCGCAGGAGUGUUUAUAUUUCUCCUGCUGCCUCAGUGCUUAUCAAUGAAU
Operophtera brumata (winter moth) is the source of this 71-nucleotide microRNA precursor. It matches the Rfam family "mir-252 microRNA precursor family". Lineage: Eukaryota; Metazoa; Arthropoda; Insecta; Lepidoptera; Geometridae. The record is from Rfam.